RNAcentral lists this long non-coding RNA (1114 nucleotides) under Olea europaea subsp. europaea. Lineage: Eukaryota; Viridiplantae; Streptophyta; Magnoliopsida; Lamiales; Oleaceae. The record is from RNAcentral.
AGAUUAUCAGAUUCAGAUCAAAAUCCAAUUCAUUGACAGCCCUAUAAACUAUAGUAUUUUAUAUUUGAAAUUCAUUAAUAUUGAAAGACUAUAUUAAUGAUGCUUUAAUUUAGUAUUUUGGCAACUUUAAUAUUUGUUGAUAGGUUGUCCCGAACCCACCAACCCAACCCGACCCGACCCGACCAACAUUCGGUGGGGUUGGGUUUCAAUCUUUACAUGGGUUGGGAUGGGUUGAAUGCUAAUCAAACCAAUCGUGUUGGGUUGGGACAAAACCCAACCCACGCCCACCCUAAUAACAAGAUAUGAUAUAAAGCUCAUAUUUACAUUAAGGUUAAUUUAAGUUCAUCAGGCGCCCAAAAAAAUAAAAUAAAAUAAAAUCCUUCCAAAGGUCCUGUUUUCACACUCAAUUGCUUGUAGCUAGUAAUACUACCAUCUCUUUUCUUUCAAAAUACACUACAAAGUGGAAAUUUCAAAGAUUCUUAGGUCCAAAAUUACAAUCACCCAACUUAAACAAAAUUAACCAAAGCAAUUCAACAUUAAAUUGAGCUUCUUGAGCUCUAUUCUCUCCCAUCAAAAUAAUUAUUUUCUGUCAAUCUGUUUGAUGUGCACAGAAGAGUUAAACAGUGGUUGCCAGUACGGAAUCAAAUCUGAACAAGAAGAGGACGCAAACAAAUUGCAAGAUGAUUUGAAGUGGGUGGAGUUGCAUGGAGAAAGCCCAAAAUAUCCAUAAAUGUCAAUGAAAUCAAGGAUAUUAAUUCACAAAUACUGCAACAUGUCAGAAUACUAGUACACCGCCCACAAAAGAUUAAAUUCUGAAUACAACUCCUCCAGAGGAAUAAGCAUAAAAUGAUCAUUAAUGGCUUUCCAUUAGAAACUUUUCCUAGUUAAAUUUACCCAUUUACAAGGAGUGUACCAUAAUUAAAACUCGCUCCAUUAUACCUGAGUUACAUUUUAUGUAUGUUGACCCGAUCUGACAUGUAAUUCCUUAAUAACAUUAACUCAGAGCUACCUUUUAACAAAUAUAUUCAACUUUUAUCAUGUUCUAGCGAGUAAACGUCCUUAAUGAAUAAUUGAACAUAAUCACAGAACAUAUAUAAAUAUAUUUCACUUUCUU